CGAACGGGUGAGUAACACGUGGGCAAUCUGCCCUGCACUCUGGGACAAGCCCUGGAAACGGGGUCUAAUACCGGAUACUGACCCGCUUGGGCAUCCAAGCGGUUCGAAAGCUCCGGCGGUGCAGGAUGAGCCCGCGGCCUAUCAGCUUGUUGGUGAGGUAAUGGCUCACCAAGGCGACGACGGGUAGCCGGCCUGAGAGGGCGACCGGCCACACUGGGACUGAGACACGGCCCAGACUCCUACGGGAGGCAGCAGUGGGGAAUAUUGCACAAUGGGCGAAAGCCUGAUGCAGCGACGCCCCGUGAGGGAUGACGGCCUUCGGGUUGUAAACCUCUUUCAUCAGGGAAGAAGCGAAAGUGACGGUACCUGCAGAAGAAGCGCCGGCUAACUACGUGCCAGCAGCCGCGGUAAUACGUAGGGCGCGAGCGUUGUCCGGAAUUAUUGGGCGUAAAGAGCUCGUAGGCGGCUUGUCACGUCGGUUGUGAAAGCCCGGGGCUUAACCCCGGGUCUGCAGUCGAUACGGGCAGGCUAGAGUUCGGUAGGGGAGAUCGGAAUUCCUG
This is a ribosomal RNA of 560 nucleotides. It matches the Rfam family "Bacterial small subunit ribosomal RNA", at positions 99 to 672 of the family's 1533-position model.